UCGAGAAUCUUUCGCAAUGGGCGAAAGCCUGACGAAGCGACGCCGCGUGAGCGAUGAAAGCCUUCGGGUUGUAAAGCUCUGUCACAUGGGACGAAAUGCGUGUGUGUUAAUACCACAUACGUUUGACGGUACCAUGAGAGGAAGCCCCGGCUAAUUUCGUGCCAGCAGCCGCGGUAAUACGAAAGGGGCAAGCGUUGUUCGGAUUUAUUGGGCGUAAAGGGCGUUUAGGUGGCAUAUUAAGUCAGAUGUGAAAGCCUACAGCUCAACUGUAGAAUUGCAUCUGAAACUGAUAAGCUUGAGUCCAGGAGAAGGGAGCGGAAUUCUCAGUGUAGCGGUGAAAUGCGUUGAUAUUGAGAAGAACACCAGUGGCGUAGGCGGCUCCCUAGCCUGAGACUGACACUGAAGCGCGAAAGUCAGGGGAGCAAACG
This 428-nucleotide ribosomal RNA is filed under the name uncultured prokaryote. RNAcentral describes it as "bacterial SSU rRNA". It matches the Rfam family "Bacterial small subunit ribosomal RNA", at positions 355 to 774 of the family's 1533-position model. The record is from RNAcentral.